UAAGUAAGCUUUGAUCCAGAGAUUUCCGAAUGGGGAAACCCAGCAUGAGUUAUGUCAUGUUAUCGAUAUGUGAAUACAUAGCAUAUCAGAAGGCACACCCGGAGAACUGAAACAUCUUAGUACCCGGAGGAAGAGAAAGAAAAUUCGAUUCCCUUAGUAGCGGCGAGCGAAACGGGAAGAGCCCAAACCAACAAGCUUGCUUGUUGGGGUUGUAGGACACUCUAUACGGAGUUACAAAGGACGACAUUAGACGAAUCAUCUGGAAAGAUGAAUCAAAGAAGGUAAUAAUCCUGUAGUCGAAAAUGUUGUCUCUCUUGAGUGGAUCCUGAGUACGACGGAGCACGUGAAAUUCCGUCGGAAUCUGGGAGGACCAUCUCCUAAGGCUAAAUACUCUCUAGUGACCGAUAGUGAACCAGUACCGUGAGGGAAAGGUGAAAAGCACCCCGGAAGGGGAGUGAAAUAGAACCUGAAACCGUGUGCUUACAAGUAGUCAGAGCCCGUUAAUG
This 506-nucleotide ribosomal RNA is filed under the name Staphylococcus aureus. RNAcentral describes it as "partial 23S ribosomal RNA". It matches the Rfam family "Bacterial large subunit ribosomal RNA", at positions 89 to 589 of the family's 2925-position model. Lineage: Bacteria; Bacillati; Bacillota; Bacilli; Caryophanales; Staphylococcaceae. The record is from RNAcentral.